RNAcentral lists this ribosomal RNA (555 nucleotides) under uncultured archaeon. RNAcentral's name for it is "bacterial SSU rRNA". It matches the Rfam family "Archaeal small subunit ribosomal RNA", at positions 326 to 881 of the family's 1478-position model. The record is from RNAcentral.
CGGGGUGCAGCAGGCGCGAAAACUUUACAAUGCCGGCAACGGCGAUAGGGGAACCUCGAGUGCCAGGUUACAAAUCUGGCUGUCGUGAUGCCUAAAAAGCAUUGCAUAGCAAGGGCCGGGCAAGACCGGUGCCAGCCGCCGCGGUAACGCCGGCGGCUCGAGUGGUAACCGUUAUUAUUGGGUCUAAAGGGUCUGUAGCCGGCCGGAUAAGUCUCUUGGGAAAUCUGGCAGCUUAACUGUCAGGCUUUUAGGAGAUACUGUCUGGCUCGAGGCCGGGAGAGGUGAGAGGUACUUCAGGGGUAGGGGUGAAAUCUUGUAAUCCUUGAAGGACCACCAGUGGCGAAGGCGUCUCACCAGAACGGACCUGACGGCAAGGGACGAAAGCUAGGGGCACGAACCGGAUUAGAUACCCGGGUAGUCCUAGCCGUAAACGAUACUCGCUAGGUGUCGGCCACGGUGCGACCGUGGUCGGUGCCGUAGGGAAGCCGUGAAGCGAGCCACCUGGGAAGUACGGCCGCAAGGCUGAAACUUAAAGGAAUUGGCGGGGGAGCACAA